RNAcentral lists this ribosomal RNA (492 nucleotides) under uncultured bacterium. Its description in RNAcentral is "partial 16S ribosomal RNA". It matches the Rfam family "Bacterial small subunit ribosomal RNA", at positions 29 to 507 of the family's 1533-position model. The record is from RNAcentral.
AGUGAACGCUGGCGGUGGGCCUAACACAUGCAAGUCGAACGGCAGCACAGUAAGAGCUUGCUCUUACGGGUGGCGAGUGGCGGACGGGUGAGGAAUACAUCGGAAUCUACUUUUUCGUGGGGGAUAACGUAGGGAAACUUACGCUAAUACCGCAUACGACCUACGGGUGAAGGCAGGGGAUCUUCGGACCUUUCGCGAUUGAAUGAGCCGAUGUCGGAUUAGCUAGUUGGCGGGGUAAAGGCCCACCAAGGCGACGAUCCGUAGCUGGUCUGAGAGGAUGAUCAGACACACUGGAACUGAGACACGGUCCAGACUACUACGGGAGGCAGCAGUGGGGAAUAUUGGACAAUGGGCGCAAGCCUGAUCCAGCCAUACCGCGUGGGUGAAGAAGGCCUUCGGGUUGUAAAGCCCUUUUGUUGGGAAAGAAAAGCAGCAGGUUAAUACCCCGCUGUUCUGACGGUACCCAAAGAAUAAGCACCGGCUAACUUCGUG